GGGGAUUGUUGUGGUGGUGGUUGGCUUUACUGUCAAGUCAACAUAACCCAAAUAAGACAAUUUACUAGUACGAAGUCGUGGAUAUUUGGCAGCCACCACACUGAACCCCAAAUAUUACUGAACACUCAAGCAACCUUCAUGCACCCAAAGAACUUUUAACUUGGCAGACUCUAGUGAAAUCUCAAAAGAGUGCAUUCAGCCAGUAGAACUCUCAAACUCAAUUACACCAAUUCUUUGAUGCAAUAAAUAGAGGAUACCAACACAUAGCCAAG
Molecule: unclassified non-coding RNA, 272 nt
Filed under: Hevea brasiliensis (rubber tree)
Lineage: Eukaryota; Viridiplantae; Streptophyta; Magnoliopsida; Malpighiales; Euphorbiaceae
Source: RNAcentral